GACUUGCUAUUGCCAAGGAUCCUGAGAAUGUUCGAGCUUUGCUUAUUAUUGGCCAGACACUGUUGCAAGAUGGUUCCUUACCAGAAGCUACUGAAUACUUGGAACGUUCUAUUGCUAAGCUUCUGCUAAAGGAGAAUCAAAUGGAAAUUGAGGAUGUAGAUCUGUUGAUUCUAUCAUCUCAAUGGGCAGGUGUCGCCUGUAUACGGCAGGGUAAGAUGGGAGAGGGACUUGCACACCUGGAACGCAUAGCCACGUUGAAAGAGCCAGAUGACCCAAAGAGCAAGGCUCAUUAUUAUGACGGAUUAGUACUACUGUCAAGUGCAUUGAUCAAUGUUGGCCGCAAGAAGGAUGCGAUUAAUUAUCUGCAAAUGGCUACUGCUUAUGAUGAGUCUUACAGAGUAUAUCUGCAACAAUGUGAAAAUGAAGAGGAUGAUAUGACUAACAACCUUGUCGCUAGCAG
Molecule: unclassified non-coding RNA, 460 nt
Filed under: Hevea brasiliensis (rubber tree)
Lineage: Eukaryota; Viridiplantae; Streptophyta; Magnoliopsida; Malpighiales; Euphorbiaceae
Source: RNAcentral